This is a non-coding RNA of Danio rerio (zebrafish), 628 nucleotides long. NCBI's taxonomy places the organism in Eukaryota, Metazoa, Chordata, Actinopteri, Cypriniformes, Danionidae. The record is from Ensembl.
UUAAACAUCACGAGGGCCGCAUACUUUAGGUUGUGCUUAGGUGGCGUGGACAACCACUGUACAACAUUUACUGGUCACAGCUGAAUCAGUUUAAAUUUCAACAAGCCGUCGUCUCAUUCAUCAACAACUGAGGAGACGCUAUUUUCACAUGGAGAAUGGUUUCAGCUGUUGAAUUCACCUCAGAUCAGUGUUGCUGUAAUUCCCGAUCUAUGGAAAGAAUAAUUGAAUGAGCGAGCAACGCCACAACUACAGGACCUCUUCUUUCUCUUCUCAUAAUUUAACUGGAUUAUCUGUUGAAUUUGUUUUUUUCCUCUGACAGCUUUCUCCAUACCAACAACUAUGCCUGGUCUUCAGCUGCGCUCCCCGGUCUGCUGUAUUCUCCAGUCCAGCUUCACUGCCCAGUGUCUGAAUUUUAAUUUAUAUAUUUAUUUAUAUAUAUAUAUUUACAUUUUAAUGAUUUCUUGUUUACUUUUCUUGUUUGCUUACCCUUUAGUUUAAUUAUAUAUAUAUAUAUAUGUAUAUAUAUAUAUAUAUAUAUAUAAUCUAAACUUUAUACUGUUUGUUUAUAAUUAGAUGUGUACUGUAUGUAUUAAAUGUUGUGAAAUAUAUAAUAAAAAGUUUGAUUAUA